UUCGUUCGCCCUCUCGGUCUCGGGUGUUUCCUUUUUUAAGCCGGUCGCCGCAAGCCGAGGCUGUGAUUGCACUCCUCCUCGGCGCAUGCGUCAUCAGUGACCCCCGCGGGCUCCGACGGCUGGUGCUCUGCGUUCGCCCCUCCCCUCACUCUCCCUUUCCCCGGCGCGUCUCGGUGCGCAUGCGACUUGCCUCGUUAGGCAGCCGUGAGCUGCGGAGGGAUUCCCGGGCGCCGGAGGAGACUCCCGCUCCCUUGGGCCGCGCGUUUGCGCGAUCCGCGGCUGCCGCCGGCAGUGCAGGAAAACCGAGAUCUCCCUGGCGCUCCUUCCCCGCACCGGUUACUGGAAAGCAGGGGAGGCGGGGCCUGGUCGGCUGAGGGUGCGGCCGAACCCGGGAGUGUUAACUUUGGGUCAGGGCGGCUUUGGUUUUCACCCUGGAUUCGAGGAGCGAGGAGGAAAGGGAUCCAGAGGCCAAAAAGCGGACCCUCUCUCUCUUGAAAAGCAAAUCAUUUUGCCAACGCCAGGAAAAAACUUUCGGGUGUUGGCGGGCGAAAGACUUUUUUCCCCUUCCAAUGGUGCACUGCUUUAGUCGCUUCUGAUUGGAGGCUGGGCCUGGGGAGACCGGACGUGAAUCCUUGGCUGGAGGAGGGAAGCCAAAGAAGUGUACUCAAGAUAAAAGGAACAUCAGAAUCGAGGAACUUAUUCAGAUCCCUGGUCAUUCACCUGAGGAUUUUUCUGUCGACAGUGGGAAAGCAUGAUGGAGUCAUCAUAUGACAGGAUUUUAGUGACAUUUUUUUUCCUGCUUAGCAGUCUUUCCCUAUUCUGAUCAUUUCCUUUGGAGAACUAUCCUUUCUUCACUCUCAGACCAUAUGGUUGGGGCAGGACUCCAGAGGAAAACAUAUUUGAGUUAAUCCUCUGCCUUAGUUUAGACUUACUAAGAAGGGUGAUCUCUCUUUUCCAAUGGAUUUAAGUCUGGAAAAAUGGAAGCCUGAAGCCAUCUUCCCACUCACAGAUUCUGAGAAAGAAGGCAACAUGGAAGAAAGAUUCAAAAAUGGAGAUUUGGCCUGGAGACAUGUUUGAUGCCCUGAAUCCAUUGUGGACUAGAUAAUUAUGGAAAUUUCAGCUAAGUUACUCAAUAAAUUCUUUCAUGUAUUUAUUGCUUAAA
Mesoplodon densirostris (Blainville's beaked whale) is the source of this 1162-nucleotide long non-coding RNA. RefSeq lists it as uncharacterized. Lineage: Eukaryota; Metazoa; Chordata; Mammalia; Artiodactyla; Ziphiidae. The record is from RefSeq and is a predicted model, not a curated record. The transcript is spliced from 3 exons.